GAUUGUCCCAGCCGCCGCGGUAAUACGUAGGGGGCGAGCGUUGUCCGAAGUUACUGGGCGUAAAGCGCGCGUAGGCGGUUAUUCAAGUCUGGGGUGAAAGGUUCAGCGCUCAACGUGAACAGUGCCUUGGAUACUGGAUGACUUGAGUCUGGGAGGGGGAAGGGGAAUUCCUGGUGUAGCGGUAAAAUCCGUAGAGAUCAGAAGGAAUACCGAUUGCGAAGGCGAUCUGCUGGAACAUUAUUGACGCUGAGACGCGAAAGCGUGGGGAGCAAACAGGAUUAGAUACCCUGGUAGUCCACGCCCUAAACGAUGUACACUAGUUGUUGUGAGGCUCGACCUUGCAGUAAUGCAGUUAACACAUUAAGUGUACCGCCUGGGGAGUACGGUCGCAAGAUUAAAACUCAAAGGAAUAGACGGGGACCCGCACAAGCGGUGGAGCAUGUGGUUUAAUUCGACGAUACACGAAGAACCUUACCUGGACUUGACAUAGUAAGAACUUUCUAGAGAUAGAUUGGUGUCUGCUUGCAGAAACUUAUAUACAGGUGCUGCACGGCUGUCGUCAGCUCGUGUCGUGAGAUGUUGGGUUAA
Molecule: ribosomal RNA, 588 nt
Filed under: uncultured bacterium
Lineage: Bacteria
Description: bacterial SSU rRNA
Rfam family: Bacterial small subunit ribosomal RNA
Source: RNAcentral